UACGAAGGGGGCUAGCGUUGCUCGGAAUUAUUGGGCGUAAAGAGCUUGUAGGCGGUUUGUCGCGUCUGCUGUGAAAAUCCGGGGCUCAACCCCGGACUUGCAGUGGGUACGGGCAGACUAGAGUGCGGUAGGGGUGACUGGAAUUCCUGGUGUAGCGGUGGAAUGCGCAGAUAUCAGGAGGAACACCGAUGGCGAAGGCAGGUCACUGGGCCGCAACUGACGCUGAGGAGCGAAAGCAUGGGGAGCGAACAGG
Molecule: ribosomal RNA, 253 nt
Filed under: uncultured bacterium
Lineage: Bacteria
Description: partial 16S ribosomal RNA
Rfam family: Bacterial small subunit ribosomal RNA
Source: RNAcentral